RNAcentral lists this transfer RNA (84 nucleotides) under Chitinophagaceae bacterium. RNAcentral's name for it is "tRNA-Leu". It matches the Rfam family "tRNA". From Rfam's summary of the family: Transfer RNA (tRNA) molecules are approximately 80 nucleotides in length. Their secondary structure includes four short double-helical elements and three loops (D, anti-codon, and T loops). Lineage: Bacteria; Pseudomonadati; Bacteroidota; Chitinophagia; Chitinophagales; Chitinophagaceae. The record is from RNAcentral.
GCCCGGGUGGUGAAAUUGGUAGACACGCCACUUUGAGGUGGUGGUGCCUUAACCGGUGUGCUGGUUCGAAUCCAGUCUCGGGCA